This 251-nucleotide long non-coding RNA is filed under the name Brassica napus (rape). RNAcentral's name for it is "long non-coding RNA (BNAP_LNC008245)". The record is from RNAcentral. Lineage: Eukaryota; Viridiplantae; Streptophyta; Magnoliopsida; Brassicales; Brassicaceae.
UGGGAGUUUAGAACAAAUAAUCUUUAUAAUUGUGAAUACAGUUGCGGUUAAAAGUAGUCUUUGGUUAUAUAUAAUAUUUGGUAAGAUUCAAGUUUAAACCGCUAGUGGACAUUUAGAAAGUACAAGAUUUACAUUCUUCAUUUGCACCAAAAUGGCACUGUGUAUCACAAAUUAUACUCUUUUUUAGAUUCUUAGGGCAUCUCUAUCCUCACUCCAUUUUUUCCUCUAAAAUGGAAUAAAAGUGAAUAUGG